RNAcentral lists this ribosomal RNA (301 nucleotides) under uncultured bacterium. RNAcentral's name for it is "partial 16S ribosomal RNA". It matches the Rfam family "Bacterial small subunit ribosomal RNA", at positions 509 to 807 of the family's 1533-position model. The record is from RNAcentral.
CAGCAGCCACGGUAAUACGUAGGGUGCGAGCGUUAAUCGGAAUUACUGGGCGUAAAGCGUGCGCAGGCGGUUCGUCAAGACAGAUGUGAAAUCCCCGGGCUUAACCUGGGAACUGCAUUUGUGACUGGCAAGCUAGAGUAUGGCAGAGGGGGGUGGAAUUCCGCGUGUAGCAGUGUAAUGCGUAGAUAUGCGGAGGAACACCGAUGGCGAAGGCAGCCCCCUGGGCCAAUACUGACGCUCAUGCACGAAAGCGUGGGGAGCAAACAGGAUUAGAUACCCCCGUAGUCCCUGUCUCUUAUAC